UUGACCUGUAUCGAGCGGGAUUGCACAGGCAUCAGCCGGAAAAUACAAGUAUUUUACGUGUAAAGCGUGCAGUCCUUCGUCGGAUUUACGAUCUCGCGCGGAGCUUAUUGCUACGAAGCAGAUGCGAUAUCACGGGAUACGCAAUUUCGGUGGAUGCGGAAGUCGCACCGGAGGAUCCGGUUCAGGCCGAAUAGGGUCGGCUCGAAGAUAUGGAUCUUGUAGAAUGUGGCGAGCUCUGAGUUUCUGAUAUUUUGAACGAGCGUCCUCUGGCAACGAACCAAAAAUGCGUAGCCAUGCGCGCGCGCCCGAGCGCGUCCCGAGAUCCGUGGCUCGACUACCUUUGAUGCUUUGCGGACCGAUCAGUCCCCGCAUCCUUCCUUUGGGAAGCGGAAGAAGGAGGAGAAAAUCGAAUCUGAGAUUCGUUCGACCGCGUGAAUUCAUCUCGCUGGUCUAAGGAGGAAUUCCCCGCGUCAUCUGAUUCAAAGGCGAAGCUUUUCCAGCUAAUGCCCGGCACGCAAAUCGUUACCAUCUACUUGAACUGGGACGCUCCGCUCACGAAAAGAAGAUACAGUUAGUAGGUUACAUCGCGACAGACGAUUUGUUAAAAUUUGCAUUUUCGGUGAUGCAGUUUCUCGCCUAGUUUUUUUUUUGUACAUGCUUUAUAUUUUCCGACGUAUCUUGGGAGAGCUUUAAUGAUCAACGGAUUAUGUCGUCUUGAUAACAGUGACAGUUUAAAACAAGAAUUCGCGUUACGUUUGCGUGCUUUCAGAAUUGUAAACAAGCCACAUUUGGCUGAUCGAAGUAAAUUUAGCUAUGAACUAUACGUUACAUUUUAAUACCUUCGGAGAGAUAAAAUAAGACAUGUCUCUCUCA
Molecule: long non-coding RNA, 873 nt
Organism: Dinoponera quadriceps
Lineage: Eukaryota; Metazoa; Arthropoda; Insecta; Hymenoptera; Formicidae
Exons: 4
Source: RefSeq, a predicted model, not a curated record